This 497-nucleotide ribosomal RNA is filed under the name uncultured bacterium. RNAcentral describes it as "partial 16S ribosomal RNA". It matches the Rfam family "Bacterial small subunit ribosomal RNA", at positions 28 to 507 of the family's 1533-position model. The record is from RNAcentral.
GAUGAACGCUGGCGGCGUGCCUAAUACAUGCAAGUCGAGCGAACGGACGAGAAGCUUGCUUCUCUGAUGUUAGCGGCGGACGGGUGAGUAACACGUGGAUAACCUACCUAUAAGACUGGGAUAACUUCGGGAAACCGGAGCUAAUACCGGAUAAUAUUUUGAACCGCAUGGUUCAAAAGUGAAAGACGGUCUUGCUGUCACUUAUAGAUGGAUCAGCGCUGCAUUAGCUAGUUGGUAAGGUAACGGCUUACCAAGGCAACGAUGCAUAGCCGACCUGAGAGGGUGAUCGGCCACACUGGAACUGAGACACGGUCCAGACUCCUACGGGAGGCAGCAGUAGGGAAUCUUCCGCAAUGGGCGAAAGCCUGACGGAGCAACGCCGCGUGAGUGAUGAAGGUCUUCGGAUCGUAAAGCUCUGUUACUAGGGAAGAACAUAUGUGUAAGUAACUGUGCACAUCUUGACGGUACCUAAUCAGAAAGCCACGGCUAACUACGUG